Molecule: long non-coding RNA, 312 nt
Filed under: Carica papaya (papaya)
Lineage: Eukaryota; Viridiplantae; Streptophyta; Magnoliopsida; Brassicales; Caricaceae
Description: long non-coding RNA (CPAP_LNC008482)
Source: RNAcentral
UAAACAUCCACGCGGUGAUAGGAGGUAAGAAAAAUUUGGCUUUCAAACACCAAAAUGGAGAUUUAUAUUUUUAAAUUCCUUCUUUCGAAGGAUGUAUGCAUGAUUAGGGUUGCAGGAAAUGGAAAAGAUAUUUGAACUUUUAGUAGAAUGCUAUAUCGUGCAUCAUAAAAGGCUAAACUCGAAAGUGUAUAUAGAUAUGUGAUGAUGUAGCAACAAGGUAAGAGAAUCGAGGGUGAGAGGGUUUUCAUGUUAGAAGGCUAACAUUUUGGAGAAAAUCAAUUAGGGUCUUAAAAACUAAAAAAUAAGAUGAAU